RNAcentral lists this transfer RNA (69 nucleotides) under Heterocephalus glaber (naked mole-rat). It matches the Rfam family "tRNA". From Rfam's summary of the family: Transfer RNA (tRNA) molecules are approximately 80 nucleotides in length. Their secondary structure includes four short double-helical elements and three loops (D, anti-codon, and T loops). Further hydrogen bonds mediate the characteristic L-shaped molecular structure. tRNAs have two regions of fundamental functional importance: the anti-codon, which is responsible for specific mRNA codon recognition, and the 3' end, to which the tRNAs corresponding amino acid is attached (by aminoacyl-tRNA synthetases). tRNAs cope with the degeneracy of the genetic code in two manners: having more than one tRNA (with a specific anti-codon) for a particular amino acid; and 'wobble' base-pairing, i.e. permitting non-standard base-pairing at the 3rd anti-codon position. Lineage: Eukaryota; Metazoa; Chordata; Mammalia; Rodentia; Bathyergidae. The record is from Rfam by way of RNAcentral.
UGAUGUAGCUCAGUGGUAGAGCACUUGGCUAGAAGGUUCAAGCCCUGGGUUCAAUCCUCAGCACAUCAA